GGAAGCCAAGAAGAUGAGACAAAUGCCUAAAUGCAGAGAGGUGAAUUCCUGUUGGACAAUUUAACCCGAACUGCCUGGAAGUCUUCUCAACUGUGCGAAUGUGCCCAAGCACAACUUUUGCAGAUCAGAAAGUGAAGGCACUCUGGUCAGAUAUUCCCUUCCUGAUAAGAACGCUGACCUCAGAGUCAUAAAUGAAAGACCAAGAAAGGGAGAGGAAAAGAGACAGGAAUUCAAGACUCAUCAGAAAUGUUGGCCACAAGGGAAAUAAGCACAAGCCAAUCUGAAGUGGUGAUAUACUGAUGCCCAGAGACCAAUCUCAGUACCUCACGCCAGCCGACAGUCGCAUGCGGGAAGAAACCUAAAUGCAUCAGCUCUGUCCAGUUGCCUUGUUUAAUACUGUC
Long non-coding RNA from Megalops cyprinoides (Indo-Pacific tarpon), 401 nucleotides. RefSeq lists it as uncharacterized. The transcript is spliced from 3 exons. The record is from RefSeq and is a predicted model, not a curated record. Lineage: Eukaryota; Metazoa; Chordata; Actinopteri; Elopiformes; Megalopidae.